CUCAGGCAGAACUUGGCAGCCAUUGAAACUCACAAGUGUAUGGUAACCUCCCCAAGAGAAUAAGAGUGGGAAGUCCAUUCUUUCCUCCAUGGUUCAUUCCUGUUGACCUUCUGUUUGUCCCGCUCUACACUGGCUUGGUCAGAGAUCUCACCCACUCAGAGAUAUACUGAUCCAUAAUGCCUAGUUGGACUGGAGCUUAUUGAUGAUAGAGUCCCACUUCUUGGAAGAAAACCAGAAAUGAAGAGAUUAUUUGCUUCUCAAAUACACCAAACAACAGAAAUGCAGGAGUGAAUGCAGCAGCCAAAGACUGCAACAACAGCAGAGUGACAACAGAGAGACCAGUAAUAGAAUUCUUUCUAAAUAUACACAAGGACAUAGGGAUGAAGGCAGAAGUCUGAUAGAAGUAGCAGUGAAGAGUUUAACCGUCUAUACAGUCAUUGCAACAAUGUAAAUGAAAGAAUGAUACACUGAAAAUCAAAAGUAAACGCAACCCCAUUAUGAAGAUCAAAGAGGGUUUGAUUACAAAAGAGAUGAGAAGAUAUUCAACAUUUGAUUGAAGUGGGAGCCCCACAGAAAAGCCAGACUGAACGGCAGGGAGACCCUGGCCCUCUGGGAGCAAAUGCAGAGGCCACUCUAAAGGGUAAGAGCCCUGUGCUGGAUCCCUUGGCUGCCCUAGAGGCAGAUAAGCAGGAACUGAGCCAGACCCGUCCUCUCAGUGCCUGCUUGGGGGGUGGGGGUGUGACAGGGAGGCAGCAGGUGCCACCACCAGGCUCCCAACGCACACCUAGAGGGCAUCCUCUCCUCCCAGAGAACCCAGGGCUGGGAACCUCCGAACCCAGAACCUGGCCUCUGGUCCAGACUGACUCUCUUCCCCCCUCUCUGGGCCUCAGCUCAGCUCCCUUAGAAAAGGAAAGUUGGGCUCCCUGGUCUCCCACAGGCCCCUUCUUCCAAUGCUACCCCUUUGUUUUAUUCUUAGAUUGGAAAAGAAUGUAUAAGGCUCUCUCCGUUGUGGUGAGGUCCUCAAGGCAAGCCAGUGCUGGAUCUGAGGGAGAGAGCUGGACUUUAGAAUAGGGGACCAGCUCUGCAGCACUCUGCUCUCCAGGGGACAGCCCUGCGGACAUGGAGAUAGCCUAGUAGACAGACAGCUGGAGUGUUCUGGAUGUUCACAAGGACCCAGGACUGUCCAAAAGGCUGGGGUGGGACACAGUAAGGGCUUCCUUCACCCUCACUCCGGAGAUUCUGGCUCUCUUUGGCUCAGGAUCCUAGAUCUAGGCUUCUGUCCCCAAUAGCCAUUCUCCUUUCUCAGCUAAUGCAGGACAAGAGGAGGCUGUGGAUUGAUGGCUGGUCAGGAAGACCUGGGUUCAAAUCUCACCCCUAACACUAACUGUGUGACCCUGGGCACCUCUCUGAGCCUUGAGCAACCCUCUGUGGGUCAGCUGGUCUACAAGGGAGUACCUUAAGCUGAUAAAAUCACAGUUCUUUGGAUAUCUCAGUGCUAGGAAGGCAGGACAAUACAGGGAAGAGGGUGAGGGGCUUAGAGUUAGAAGUUCUUGAUUUGAAUGCCAGCUCUGCUAAUCUGCCUCCAGUCUUCCAUUCCUCCUUCCCCUCCCUCCCUGCCUCUCAUAAAGUAAUUUGGGGGGGUGGGGGGGAGGCAGCUGGGUAGCUCAGUGGAUUGAGAGCCAGGUCUAGAGACAGGAGGUCCUUGGGUUCAAAUGUGGCCUCAGACACUUUCUAGUUGUGUGACCCUGGGCAAGUCACUUGACCCCCAUUGCCUAGCCCUUACCACUCUUCUGCCUUGGAGCCAAUACAUGGUAGUGACUCCAAGAUGGAAGGUCAGGGUUUAAAAAAAAAGUUAACUUGGG
This is a long non-coding RNA of Monodelphis domestica (gray short-tailed opossum), 1862 nucleotides long. The record is from Ensembl. NCBI's taxonomy places the organism in Eukaryota, Metazoa, Chordata, Mammalia, Didelphimorphia, Didelphidae.